UCAGGUGAUCAACCUGCCUCAGCCUCCCAAAGUGCUGGGAUUACAGGCGUGAGCCACCGCACCUGGCCUAGGGGUACCUUUAAUAAAUCUUUUUGGGGGUGCAAUUCAGCCCUCAAGACCAGGUGAGAGAGUCCCUCCCAGUAUGAUUGCAAGCUCAAACCCAUGGAUCCAAAUCAGGAUACCACCUUAAAUUUAACAUAAUGCCCUUAAAAAUGAAAAAGGUCAGAACCAAGCUCUAUCCACAGAAUCAAAUCAAAAUUUCACUUUGGCAUCCUUCUUUUGCUCACCCUUCACCCUGUUCCCCACCCGUUGUAUGUGCACUCAGCUAGCUCUAUGUUUCCUCUGUACAUCCUUCCUGCUUGAAUUUGAUAGUCUCAAUUUUUCAGUCAAGUUAGUUCUUAACAAUUUUGAGGUCAUGGGACCACUCUGAGAAUCUAAUAGAAGCUAUGGAGUCUCUGAGAACACUGCACAGAUAAAAACAAUUUAGCAUCCAAUUUCAGAGCAGUCAGAUACUAAUCCACUUCCCUCCUCCCCAAGGGCCUCUAAGUAUAGAACCACCUUGCACAGUUUGGCUUCCCCAGGCAUUGAUUCUGCAAUAAAAUCAUCACAACUCACUAUCAAUCCCUCUUCCAAGGCAAUUUCUCCAGAUCCUGCACAUUGUGCAGUGCUCCAUACUCUGGGUCUUGGCCAACCUUAGCUGUCCAGCCACUGCCUCGGGCUGAAGCUGAGAAGGGCUGGCUGGGCAGAGCUCUUCCACUGGGCCCUGAAGGCAGCUGGACUCCCUCUCCAGCCAACUUGGCUGUGAGCAUAGAACCCCCACAAAUUCUGCUUGACCCAACACCUCUUCUGAGCCCACUUUCUCCAGGGGUGGGUAGAAAUAUCUCAGAAUGUUAAAACUUCUCAGUCCGCAAGCCAUGUUAUCAUCUGGAUUUCAACAAAGAAAAGUGACUCCAGCAUGCAGAGUGGGAUCAACUUGCUCUACCAACUCUGGAUCUUCUGUCAUCUGGAAAUGACGGGGAUCUUGUACUCACGGGCAAUGCCUGCCUACUAUUAUCUUUGGAAUCAGCAUGUGAGGCCCCCUACAGAUGAGGGAACUGAGACCUGGAGAUGUGGCAAGCCUUGCCAAAGGCUCCACAGUGACACAGAAGCAGAGCCCAGAGCGCUGAAGGCCCACCCUGUCCAUAAUCAGAACUAGAGAUCGGCUGCCGGGCCGCAGGUCUUCGUAGCAGAAACAGACCAGCACAAGUGGUUGAAGGUCCUGUUCCUCAAAUAACUACAACUAAGUAAAGCCAAGCUGCUCCACAGUGAGGCUCCAGCCAGAAGCCACCCUUCAUUAACCUGGUGGCAGUUACCAGAACUGGAAGCUGUAGACUACAAAGACUUAACAGUCUGCUUAACCCCUUUCUCUCAAUGAGUAAAAUGGCUAAUAGGCUAGACCACAAACCAAUGCACAUUCAGAAUCAUCUAGAAUUGCUCAGUACUUGACAACAUAAAUGUCUGUUUCACGACUUGGAAAGGAGUCCACAAUCCACUAAGUGUUAAAAAGAUUAUG
RNAcentral lists this long non-coding RNA (1552 nucleotides) under Homo sapiens (human). RNAcentral describes it as "HSALNT0382123". Lineage: Eukaryota; Metazoa; Chordata; Mammalia; Primates; Hominidae. The record is from RNAcentral.